GUGUGUGCGGAAGGAGAGAAGGUCCGAGCUUCCCUUGACGAGGAUGGAAGAGGCUCUCUGGCCUGACAGCACGCACACGCUGAGGCAUUGCCGCCUACUUCGUGGCAUUUAACCAUCGUUUUUU
Ursus americanus (American black bear) is the source of this 124-nucleotide small nuclear RNA. NCBI's taxonomy places the organism in Eukaryota, Metazoa, Chordata, Mammalia, Carnivora, Ursidae. The record is from Ensembl.